AUCCCUAAUUAAUGGUAGUUAAGGUGUUCGUUGCUAAAACAUUUCUUUAACAACCUGCACUUAACAAAAUGCCAGAAGAUACCAGAAGAUUUAGCUGUAUUCCAGACAAAUUCAAGAACAGAUUAAGGUGUAAUUCAGAGAGCAGUCUUCAAACCUUUGCUGUAUUGACUCUGAGUUGUCAGGGGACUCAGGCUUAUGAGGAGGUACUGUCACAUAAAACAGUGUCUGGUGAAGACAACAAGAAAGAGGGGAAAGGAUCGGAAAAAGAAGCUAAAACACUGUAGGAAACCAUGAGAUCUAUUAGAUCUUUUGCCAAUGAUGAUCGCCAUGUUAUGGUGAAACAUUCAACAAUCUAUCCAUCUCCAGAGGAACUUGAAGCUGUUCAGAAUAUGGUGUCUACUGUUGAAUGUGCUCUUAAACAUGUCUCAGAUUGGCUGGAUGAAACAAACAAAGGCACAAAAACAGAGGGGGAGACAGAAGUGAAGAAGGAUGAAGCCACAGACACCUAUUCCAAGGAUCAAGGUGGUCGGACAUUGUGUGGUGUAAUGAGAAUUGGCCUGGUUGCAAAAGGCUUGCUGAUUAAAGAUGAUAUGGACUUGGAGCUGGUUUUAAUGUGCAAAGACAAACCCACAGAGACCCUGUUAAAUACAGUCAAAGAUAAUCUUCCUAUUCAGAUUCAGAAACUCACAGAAGAGAAAUAUGAAGUGGAACAAUGUGUAGAUGAGGCAUCUAUUAUAAUUCGGAAUACAAAAGAGCCCACGCUAACUUUGAAGGUGAUACUUACUUCCCCUCUAAUUAGGGAUGAAUUGGAGAAAAAGGAUGGAGAAAAGGUUGCGAUGAAAGAUCCUCCAGACUUAUUGGACAGGCAGAAAUGCCUGAACGCCUUGGCGUCUCUUCGACAUGCCAAAUGGUUUCAGGCAAGGGCAAAUGGAUUAAAAUCGUGUGUCAUUGUCCUUCGUAUUCUGCGUGAUUUGUGCAACAGAGUCCCCACAUGGGCACCAUUAAAAGGAUGGCCACUAGAGCUUAUAUGUGAAAAGUCUAUAGGUACUUGUAAUAGACCUUUGGGCGCUGGGGAGGCCUUGAGACGAGUAAUGGAGUGUUUGGCAUCUGGAAUACUACUUCCUGGGGGUCCUGGUCUUCAUGAUCCUUGUGAGCGAGAUCCAACAGAUGCUCUGAGCUAUAUGACCAUCCAGCAAAAAGAAGAUAUUACCCAUAGUGCCCAGCAUGCACUGAGACUGUCAGCCUUUGGCCAGAUUUAUAAAGUGCUGGAGAUGGACCCACUUCCGUCUAGUAAGCCUUUUCAAAAAUACUCCUGGUCAGUUACUGAUAAAGAAGGUGCUGGAUCUUCAGCUUUGAAAAGGCCAUUUGAAGAUGGAUUAGGAGAUGAUAAAGAUCCCAAUAAGAAGAUGAAACGGAACUUAAGGAAAAUUCUGGAUAGUAAAGCAAUAGAUCUUAUGAAUGCGCUAAUGAGGCUAAAUCAGAUCAGGCCUGGGCUUCAGUAUAAGCUCUUAUCUCAGUCUGGCCCUGUCCAUGCCCCAGUCUUCACAAUGUCUGUAGAUGUGGAUGGUACAACAUACGAAGCCUCAGGACCAUCCAAGAAAACAGCAAAGCUUCAUGUAGCAGUGAAGGUAUUGCAGGCAAUGGGAUACCCAACAGGCUUUGAUGCAGAUAUUGAAUGUAUGAGUUCCGAUGAAAAAUCAGAUAAUGAAAGCAAAAAUGAAACAGUGUCUUCAAACUCAAGCAAUAAUACUGGAAAUUCUACAACUGAAACCUCCAGUACCUUAGAGGUAAGAACUCAGGGCCCUAUUCUCACAGCAAGUGGCAAAAAUCCUGUAAUGGAGCUCAAUGAAAAAAGAAGAGGUCUGAAGUAUGAACUCAUCUCGGAGACUGGUGGAAGCCAUGACAAGCGCUUUGUGAUGGAGGUAGAAGUAGACGGACAGAAAUUCAGAGGUGCAGGUCCAAAUAAGAAAGUGGCAAAGGCGAGUGCAGCAUUAGCUGCUCUGGAGAAGCUGUUUUCUGGACCCAAUGCAGCAAAUAAUAAGAAAAAGAAGAUUAUCCCUCAGGCAAAGGGUAUUGUGAAUACAGCUGUGUCUGCAGCAGUCCAGGCUGUUCGAGGCAGAGGAAGAGGAACUCUAACAAGGGGAGCUUUUGUUGGGGCUGCAGCUGCUCCUGGCUACAUAGCUCCAGGCUAUGGAACACCAUAUGGUUACAGCACAGCUGCCCCUGCCUAUGCUGGUGAAAUUUGAUGCCCCCAUUUUUCACAUAAAAGAUUUGUUUUUAAAUGUUACUGUGAUGCCAACCUACUAAAAUGAUGCUUUAUUUUGGCUGUAAGGUUAAUACUUUUAAGCAGUUUUCAGCACGUUUAUCUCACUUUAUUCUCGUUCUCCUCGGACCUUCGUAGCCAUAUCACUUAUAUAAAAUAGGCUGAGAUAUAGUGACUGUAAGCUGUGCUCUCAGUAUACAAAGGUAAGCUCUUUUACUUUCUGAUUAAAGAGAAAAGUAAUUAAAAAUGGAUGAACACAACAUGCAUGCAUAUAUUACAAUCAUAUAUGAUGUAUUUGAUCUCUUAGGUCUUAUGGCAUCACAUUUCCUUUAAAAAAUUUUGUAUGAUCUAAAUGUAAAAUAAUUAUUUUCGGCGUUUCUUUUAAUACCCUUGUUUUACUUUCUAUUCAAGAGACAUUUCACUUUUGCUGAGUUAAGUGUGUGUAUGAGUGUAGAAACUUAAAAUAUAACAUAUGUGAAUUACACACACAUACCUGUUUAAAGAAAAGAAUUCAGUGGUAGAAAGAGUUCACCUAAGAAGAUUUUAACAUCAGGGCACUCUUGGCCAAAGUGCUGGGAUUUCAUAAGCAGCAAGGUUGGUGACAGUGCUGGUAGGAUGCAUUUAUAUGUAGUUGUUACACAAGCUGAGGAUUGAAGUGCCAAUUUCUCAAGGAGAAAAACUUCUCUGAGAAAUGAAAAUCUCUGAUCUAUGUUGUAUGCCCUAAUGCAACAGCAGCAAGAAGCCAUAAAAAAAAAAAGCAAUAGAAAAUGAAAAAAACCAAAAUAUUAAGGUAACUAUGGGAAAAUAUGUAAUUGACUGAGUUAAGCUAACUAUUUGCAGAACCAAAUUUGGCAAGACUCAGAAUGGUAAAUACCCAGGGACCAAAUAGAUGUAAGGCAACUCACCUGUCUUUCUAGGUUCGGUAGCUAGGUGAUUUAUUUCCCACCUCAUUCAGCCAUCAUGGAGUUUAAAAUAUGUCAGGGUUAGGCCAAAUAUUUUAAUAAGGAUUUGCUUUGUUUAGUGUGUCCCAUAUAUGCAUUUCACAUGUGUCAGAUGUUCUGUGCUAAGGCUAUGUUUUUUUAUAUAGAUUAAAAUGAAUUUUAUGUUUUA
Myotis lucifugus (little brown bat) is the source of this 3373-nucleotide RNA transcript. It is a transcript of the gene named spermatid perinuclear RNA binding protein, with no coding region annotated. Lineage: Eukaryota; Metazoa; Chordata; Mammalia; Chiroptera; Vespertilionidae. The transcript has 19 exons. The record is from RefSeq and is a predicted model, not a curated record.